RNAcentral lists this ribosomal RNA (462 nucleotides) under uncultured bacterium. Its description in RNAcentral is "partial 16S ribosomal RNA". It matches the Rfam family "Bacterial small subunit ribosomal RNA", at positions 28 to 506 of the family's 1533-position model. The record is from RNAcentral.
GAUGAACGCUGACAGAAUGCUUAACACAUGCAAGUCUUUGGUGAAGCUGUGCUUGCACAGCCUAGCCAAGGCGGACGGGUGAGUAACGCGUAAGGAACUUGCCCUGCAGUCAGGGAUAACAGACGGAAACGACUGAUAAGACCUGGUAAAGUCAGGCGGACUCAUGUCCAGCCUGAUGAAAAGAGAUGCUGCAGGAGAGCCUUGCGUCCUAUUAGCUUGUUGGUGGGGUAACGGCCCACCAAGGCAAUGAUAGGUAGCCGGCCUGAGAGGGUGGACGGCCACAAGGGGACUGAGAUACGGCCCUUACUCCUACGGGAGGCAGCAGUGGGGAAUAUUGGACAAUGGGGGCAACCCUGAUCCAGCAAUGCUGUGUGCACGAUGAAGGUUUUCGGAUUGUAAAGUGCUUUCAGCAGGGAAGAAAAAAAUGACGGUACCUGCAGAAGAAGCGACGGCGAAAUACGU